GACGAACGCUGGCGGCGCGCCUAACACAUGCAAGUCGAACGAGAGAUGAGGAGCUUGCUCUUCAAAUCGAGUGGCGAACGGGUGAGUAACGCGUGAGGAACCUGCCUCAAAGAGGGGGACAACAGUUGGAAACGACUGCUAAUACCGCAUAAGCCCACGGCUCGGCAUCGAGCAGGGGGAAAAGGAGCAAUCCGCUUUGAGAUGGCCUCGCGUCCGAUUAGCUAGUUGGUGAGGUAACGGCCCACCAAGGCGACGAUCGGUAGCCGGACUGAGAGGUUGAACGGCCACAUUGGGACUGAGACACGGCCCAGACUCCUACGGGAGGCAGCAGUGGGGAAUAUUGCACAAUGGGGGAAACCCUGAUGCAGCGACGCCGCGUGGAGGAAGAAGGUCUUCGGAUUGUAAACUCCUGUUGUUGAGGAAGAUAAUGACGGUACUCAACAAGGAAGUGACGGCU
Molecule: ribosomal RNA, 457 nt
Filed under: uncultured bacterium
Lineage: Bacteria
Description: bacterial SSU rRNA
Rfam family: Bacterial small subunit ribosomal RNA
Source: RNAcentral